Molecule: ribosomal RNA, 454 nt
Filed under: uncultured bacterium
Lineage: Bacteria
Description: bacterial SSU rRNA
Rfam family: Bacterial small subunit ribosomal RNA
Source: RNAcentral
AGGCAGCAGUGGGGAAUAUUGCACAAUGGGCGCAAGCCUGAUGCAGCCAUGCCGCGUGUAUGAAGAAGGCCUUCGGGUUGUAAAGUACUUUCAGCAGUGAGGAAGGCGGGUGUGUUAAUAGCACAUUCGUUUGACGUUAGCUGCAGAAGAAGCACCGGCUAACUCCGUGCCAGCAGCCGCGGUAAUACGGAGGGUGCGAGCGUUAAUCGGAAUUACUGGGCGUAAAGCGCAUGCAGGUGGUUUGUUAAGUCAGAUGUGAAAGCCCGGGGCUCAACCUCGGAAUUGCAUUUGAAACUGGCAGACUAGAGUACUGUAGAGGGGGUAGAAUUUCAGGUGUAGCGGUGAAAUGCGUAGAGAUCUGAAGGAAUACCGGUGGCGAAGGCGGCCCCCUGGACAGAUACUGACACUCAGAUGCGAAAGCGUGGGGAGCAAACAGGAUUAGAUACCCUGGUAG